GACGUAGGAUGCGAGCGUUGUCCGGAAUCAUUGGGCGUAAAGAGUUCGUAGGUGGCAUAUCAAGUCUGGUGUUAAAGCCCGGAGCUCAACUCCGGUUCGGCACUGGAUACUGGUAAGCUAGAGUGCAGUAGAGGCAAGGGGAAUUCCCAGUGUAGCGGUGAAAUGCGUAGAUAUUGGGAGGAACACCGGUGGCGUAAGCGCCUUGCUGGGCUGUUACUGACACUGAGGAACGCAGGCCAGGGGAGUAAAUGGG
RNAcentral lists this ribosomal RNA (253 nucleotides) under uncultured bacterium. Its description in RNAcentral is "partial 16S ribosomal RNA". It matches the Rfam family "Bacterial small subunit ribosomal RNA", at positions 524 to 776 of the family's 1533-position model. The record is from RNAcentral.